UUGAAUGCGUGUAGAGAUUAAUUUGUAAAGUUUUCUUUCAACAUCUGGUCAUUAAUAUAAAGAUAAGGAUGAAUCAUUGCCAAACAGGCAUAUAAAACAAAACCAGAUACUUUGUAUCAAAACUCAAUGCCGCACACAUAUUUAUGCUCACUGUAUUUUCAAAAAUGUUAUUCUAGAUCUUUCCUGUUCUUCUAUAAAAAGGGCCCAAUGCUUGUUUGUUUUGUACAUGUUUAUGAAUAAGACAUAUCUUGAUCUAUAAGCUUUAGAUUAUGAUUCAUGUAGAGAAAAUGAUGCAGAGUUUUGAGACAUUUGAUGGUCAAGAUGAAGCGGAAUAUGGUGAUAGUUCUAAAGAGCUUGAACCAUAUGCAGUUCUAAAUAAUCGCAUCCAUGAUUUAUAAGAGGAGGAUGUGACACACCCCAACUCAGAAUGUCCAUCUGGACUCUGAAUCAAGUUGUGAUGGCCAACACCAGGAAGGUGACGAAGCCAUAAAGUGUAGUGAUGUGGAAAAUGUGAAUAAAUUUAAACCUAAAAGUGCCUAAAUGUUAGAGUGUGCUUGGGAGAGGGAAUGAACCCAUUUCACAACUAAUGUCAUAGCAUAAGUAAAGUACCGUAAAGGUAAAAGAGGAAUUAUACCAUCGGGGAAUAUUCCCAUAACAA
Molecule: long non-coding RNA, 658 nt
Organism: Malus domestica (apple)
Lineage: Eukaryota; Viridiplantae; Streptophyta; Magnoliopsida; Rosales; Rosaceae
Source: RefSeq, a predicted model, not a curated record